GACGAACGCUGGCGGCGCGCUUAACACAUGCAAGUCGAGCGAUGAAACUUUAACAGAACCCUUCGGGGCGAAGAUAAAGUGGAUUAGCGGCGGACGGGUGAGUAACACGUGAGUAACCUGCCUUAGACAUGGGGAUAGCCUCGGGAAACCGGGAUUAAUACCAAAUAAAAUCAUAAUGACACAUGUCAUAACGAUCAAAACUCCGGUGGUCUAGGAUGGACUUGGGUCCCAUUAGCUAGUUGGUAGAGUAAAAGCCUACCAAGGCGACGAUGGGUAGCCGGCCUGAGAGGGUGAGCCGACACAUUGGCACUGAGAAGCGGUCCAAACUCCUACGGGAGGCAGCAGUGGGGAAUAUUGCACAAUGGAGGGAACUCUGAUGCACCGACGCCGCGUGAACGAAGAAGGCUUUCGAGUCGUAAAGUUCUUUUAUAUGGGAAGAUAAUGACGGUACCAUAAGAGAAAGCCCCGGCUAACUACGUG
RNAcentral lists this ribosomal RNA (480 nucleotides) under uncultured bacterium. RNAcentral's name for it is "partial 16S ribosomal RNA". It matches the Rfam family "Bacterial small subunit ribosomal RNA", at positions 28 to 507 of the family's 1533-position model. The record is from RNAcentral.